UGGAUGGUUGCUCUUUGAGCCUGGUAACGU
Molecule: non-coding RNA, 30 nt
Filed under: Homo sapiens (human)
Lineage: Eukaryota; Metazoa; Chordata; Mammalia; Primates; Hominidae
Source: RNAcentral